Molecule: ribosomal RNA, 253 nt
Filed under: uncultured bacterium
Lineage: Bacteria
Description: partial 16S ribosomal RNA
Rfam family: Bacterial small subunit ribosomal RNA
Source: RNAcentral
UACGUAGGGGGCAAGCGUUGUCCGGAAUCAUUGGGCGUAAAGAGCGCGUAGGCGGCCCAGUAAGUCCGCUCUGAAAGUCAGGGGCUCAACCCCUGAAUGCGGGUGGAUACUGCUGGGCUAGAGUCCGGAAGAGGCGAGUGGAAUUCCUGGUGUAGCGGUGAAAUGCGCAGAUAUCAGGAAGAACACCCGUGGCGAAGGCGGCUCUCUGGGACGGUACUGACGCUGAGACGCGAAAGCGUGGGGAGCGAACAGG